CAGCAGCCGCGGGAAUACGAAGGGGGCUAGCGUUGUUCGGAUUUACUGGGCGUAAAGCGCACGUAGGCGGAUCGAUCAGUCAGGGGUGAAAUCCCAGAGCUCAACUCUGGAACUGCCUUUGAUACUGUCGAUCUGGAGUAUGGAAGAGGUGAGUGGAAUUCCGAGUGUAGAGGUGAAAUUCGUAGAUAUUCGGAGGAACGCCAGUGGCGAAGGCGGCUCACUGGUCCAUUACUGACGCUGAGGUGCGAAAGCGUGGGGGGCAAACAGGAUUAGAUACCCCUGUAGUCCCUGUCUCUUAUAC
This 301-nucleotide ribosomal RNA is filed under the name uncultured bacterium. RNAcentral describes it as "partial 16S ribosomal RNA". It matches the Rfam family "Bacterial small subunit ribosomal RNA", at positions 509 to 807 of the family's 1533-position model. The record is from RNAcentral.